ACGCUCCAUUUGAACUCCCAACUCGGGAUCGCUUAUCAGUUUGGGAGUUUGGAGCAGGUUGGCGAAUCAUUUGAAUCAGUUUGGGGAUCGCGAAUCAUUUGAGUCAGUUCGGGAGUUCGGAACGGGAUCGCGAAUCAUUUGAAUCAGUUUCGGGAGUUCGUAGCGGGUUCGCCAGGGGCGGAUCUACUGGGGUGGCAUGGGGUGGCAAAUGUCACCCUAAAAGAAAGCCUUGCCACCCCAGUUGACAGCAACAAAUUAAAAGUUACGAGCACGAAUCUCCCAUGUCCCAGAGAGGAGAGGACGACAGAGCGCAAGAGACUAUAUUUUACAUUUGUUUGGAAAACUUUAUGAGUGCGCGCAAAGCGAAAGGAAACAUGAGUCAUGAAGAGACACAGGAGGAAAGAGAUAUUGCAGAUCUGGAGAAAAAUGAAGCACUGCUAAUCUUACCAUCUUUAUUCAGAGAAAACAUCAAGUUUCUCUUCUGUCUGGACAAUUUUUACAGAUGUUAUUAAGGAACCUUAAGAUCCUGUCUGGGAUGAAGUGGAACAUUUGUGGACUCCUGCUCAUUUUACCUGCCCUCUUCAGCAUAUCUGCAGAAGGAAAGAAAAACUGUAAAGAAGGAAAUCAUGGACAUGUAUGUAGUCCUGUCAUGAGGGAAAAUAAACAAAAUCAGGAUGGAACUGAUAUGGAGAUGGAUAUGUUUAUACUGGGUGAUGAUGGUUUCAUGGGAUACAUUGAAGCAGGUAAAUGUAUUAAUGGUAAAUGGGACCCAAAGGCGAGCCAGUCUACUAUUCUGUGCAAUUCUAGUGGAUCAUUAGUAACACCAAAACCAAUCAACAUGACUGUCUUUUCGUAUGAAGAAAAUACAGCUUAUACAGAAAGCUUGUUUAACAACAGUGACUAUGGUGUGAUUUUAUCAAGAUACUCACCAUACAAUCUCAGCAUAAACAGAGCUGUUAUACCCACAUUUGUCUGUUUAAUUGAAGGGAAUUGCACAAAUAUUACUUUGAACACUUGGAUUAAUCAAGGUGAAUGAAGAGAUCUUUUAUGUUCCUUUUAUUCAUUUGGUAGCCUGUGAUUUUAGAAGUGUAUGAAAACAAUAUAAUCCUUGGGUUUCUUUCAACUUUAAAUGUCCAGUGUCAAAUUUAUUCACUAUAUAUUUGCUAUAUUACAAGUGUUUUGCUUUAUGCAGAUCAGAUAUCUAAUAGUAUGUUUUUGUUCUUUUUAUCAAAGGAUGUAACUGGACUAACAAAACCACAGAAUAUUUUGAAUACAAAAGUGAGGACAAUUCUAAAAAAUGUAAGUGUUAUAUUAAUAUUAAAGAUAUAUUAGACUAAUAAAAGAAUUCUG
This 1350-nucleotide long non-coding RNA is filed under the name Carassius auratus (goldfish). Its description in RNAcentral is "lncRNA (ENSCARG00000027924.1)". The record is from RNAcentral. Lineage: Eukaryota; Metazoa; Chordata; Actinopteri; Cypriniformes; Cyprinidae.